AAAGUGCUAAAAAAAAGUUUUUAUUCACAUUUUGACCAGGAAGGACAACAAGUCUAUGGCCGCAGGAAGACAACACAAG
Molecule: long non-coding RNA, 79 nt
Organism: Sander lucioperca (pikeperch)
Lineage: Eukaryota; Metazoa; Chordata; Actinopteri; Perciformes; Percidae
Exons: 3
Source: RefSeq, a predicted model, not a curated record